Long non-coding RNA from Pteropus alecto (black flying fox), 530 nucleotides. RefSeq lists it as uncharacterized. Lineage: Eukaryota; Metazoa; Chordata; Mammalia; Chiroptera; Pteropodidae. The transcript has 2 exons. The record is from RefSeq and is a predicted model, not a curated record.
GGCACGGCCCGCGCGCCGCCGAUUGGCCGAGGGGCGCGCAGCGGGGGAAGCCCUUGGCUAAUCUCCUGCCACUCAGCCGGGCCGACGUCGGCGGGUUCGCAGCGCCGUGCGCGGAAGGACAAAUAGUCCCAAAGGCAGCACCGCGCGCCCCUUCACGGCUCUGCUCGCCCCGCCCGCGGCUGCCGGGGCCCUGAGGCCCGGGCGGCGGGGGAGGGUUAGCUUCUGAGCUUCGCCGACUCCGGCUCUCCCUUAGCGGCUAGAAAGGCCGCGGUAGCAAGCUGGGUGGUAAAGAAGAAUCAACGGAGAUUUCCCUUGGUGCCCUUUUUCGCCUAGCAUGUGACGCUUGCUCCUCCAAGUUGUUAUCAUUCCAAAAUCCACCUGGUUGCUGAUCCUCAGGAAGAGAAAUACUUUGGCACCUUUGAAUCUUUCAGCCACACCACUUCCUUUUUCUCUCAGAGCUCUACUUGGAGCUGGGAUGGAAAAAGAACUCUUGUCAAAUCCGGCAUUAAAGAUGUCUCUUCUUAACGGGU